This is a non-coding RNA of Danionella cerebrum, 73 nucleotides long. The record is from the annotation of a GenBank genome assembly. NCBI's taxonomy places the organism in Eukaryota, Metazoa, Chordata, Actinopteri, Cypriniformes, Danionidae.
GUCAAUGUGGCUCAGUUGGUAGAGCAUUGCACUUAUAAUGCAAAUGUUGUGGGUUUUAAUCUCAGAGGAAGCA